RNAcentral lists this ribosomal RNA (439 nucleotides) under uncultured bacterium. RNAcentral describes it as "partial 16S ribosomal RNA". It matches the Rfam family "Bacterial small subunit ribosomal RNA", at positions 338 to 795 of the family's 1533-position model. The record is from RNAcentral.
CCUACGGGAGGCAGCAGUAGGGAAUUUUGCGCAAUGGGCGAAAGCCUGACGCAGCAACACCGCGUGAAUGUUAAGCCCUUCGGGGUGUAAAGUUCUGUCAAUCGGGACGAAUUUUGACUGUACCUAUACAGGAAGCCCCGGCUAACUACGUGCCAGCCGCCGCGGUAAUACGGAGGAUGCGAGCGUUAUCCGGAUUUAUUGGGUUUAAGGGGUGCGCAGGCGGUCUGUUAAGUCAGCGGUAAAAGCCCGGGGCUCAACCCCGGCCCGCCGUUGACACUGGCAGUCUCGAGUGGGAGAGAAGUAUGCGGAAUGCGCGGUGUAGCGGUGAAAUGCAUAGAUAUCGCGCAGAACUCCGAUUGCGAAGGCAGCAUGCCGGCUCCAAACUGACGCUGAGGCACGAAAGCGUGGGUAUCGAACAGGAUUAGAUACCCUUGUAGUC